Molecule: unclassified non-coding RNA, 328 nt
Filed under: uncultured Icmadophila
Lineage: Eukaryota; Fungi; Ascomycota; Lecanoromycetes; Pertusariales; Icmadophilaceae
Description: partial contains 5.8S ribosomal RNA, internal transcribed spacer 2, and large subunit ribosomal RNA
Source: RNAcentral
AACGCACAUUGCACCUUUUGGUAUUCCGAAAGGUAUGCUUGUUCGAGCGUCGUUUAUACCAUAUCAAUUUAAUUGUUGAAUGUGUUGAAGGUGGUAUAUCCAAUUGUGCUUCUUGCACACCUUCCAAAAUCAUUGAGCGAUCUUGAUUAGACUUGUUUAACGCAUUAAAAUAACUAUCGUUAGAAGAGGAAAUCAUGGAUCUGCCAAUUUAAAUAUUCUUUUGGCUGUAGAAAAAGAAAAAGAGAAUUCGAUUUCUUUUUUCUGCACUCAGAAUACCCCAAUUUUUAAAAUCGACCUCGGAUCAAGUAGGAUUACCCGCUGAACUUAA